RNAcentral lists this long non-coding RNA (1225 nucleotides) under Homo sapiens (human). Its description in RNAcentral is "HSALNT0215436". Lineage: Eukaryota; Metazoa; Chordata; Mammalia; Primates; Hominidae. The record is from RNAcentral.
CUGGGUGAUUAAUAAACUAAUUGACACGGGGGACACUUGUCACUGGCGAAGCAGCUCCCUAGCCAAAGCGAGGAGCAACUACAUAGCGUCUCCCGGGGAGCUGGGAAGUGACAGUCUACACCCGCUUCCGGGCUCCCCGUGACAUAGGCCAGCCGGGCCUCCAUUUACACCUCAAAGCAAAGUCACAGAGGGAUCCGCCCCUUUCCUGGCUGCCUACACAGAAAGCAGCCAUGGGAGACUUGCCGAGGACUUUGUCCACCAAGUGAUGAAAGCAUGCAAAUGCCUCCGAAUCAAAGAUGAGGAAAACAAAAGCUCAGAAACUAUCUUGGAGUCAGCAAGUAAGAAGGAGCUUAGAAAGGCUUAACAUUUUCCAUGCUUCUGCCUGGCUUCAGAGCCCAUGCACUCUGCCUUACCACGGCAGGUGAAAGAUGGCCCCAAAUUCUUAGGUACAUCUCCUGCCAAAAGACCCCUCCUAUGGGUUCUGUGACUACUUCAAUGAAAAGAAUAGGGCAGAAGAGAUGAUGAGAACUUAACAUCUGGCAGUGUCCAUUUCCUGUCUUUUGAAACUUUCUGUUAAAGGCCUGAGCCACGUAUGAAGUGUGAAUCUUCACACCAUGCAAGAGAAGCCACAUGUUAUUGCUCUGGUCAACAAUCCCAGCUGACCCAACCAGAUAGUGUAUCAGGCAUAUGAGUAAAGCAUUCUUAGAUUCUUCAGUCCAGCCCUUCACCAGCAGAACACCAUUCAGCAACCCUUGUCGGCAUCAUGUGGGACAGAAGAACCACCCAGCUGAGCCUUAUCCAAAUUCCUGACCACAAAAUCAUAAGCCCUGAGAGAGCAAGACCAGCCCCUUCUUUUCUUCCACCUCCUCAUCUACUCAACAUGUAUCUUCAUUCUCAAGACGAUGAGGAUGAAGACCUUUAUGAUGCUCCACUCCCAGUUAAUAAAUAGUAAGCAUAUUUUCUCUUUCUUCUGAUUUUCUUUUCUCUAGUUUAUUUUAUUGUAAGAAUGCAGUAUAUAAUAUAUGUAACAUACAAAAUAUGUGUUAAUCAAUUAUUUAUGCUAUCAGUAAGGCUUCUGGUCAAUAGGGGGUUUUUAGUAAAGUUUUUGAGCAGUCAUAAUUACACAUGGAUUUUCAGCUAUAGAGAGGGUCAGUACCCCUAAUCCCCACGUUGUUCAAGAGUUAACUGUACAUAGUUUUACUCCUGUUAGGAAUAAUGCUCAAAA